RNAcentral lists this ribosomal RNA (495 nucleotides) under uncultured Sphingobacteriales bacterium. Its description in RNAcentral is "bacterial SSU rRNA". It matches the Rfam family "Bacterial small subunit ribosomal RNA", at positions 384 to 879 of the family's 1533-position model. The record is from RNAcentral. Lineage: Bacteria; Pseudomonadati; Bacteroidota; Sphingobacteriia; Sphingobacteriales.
UGACCAGCCAUCCCCGCGUGCAGGAUGAAGGCCCUAUGGGUUGUAAACUGCUUUAGACUGAGAAGAAACCCCUCAAUGCGUUGGGGGCUGACGGUAUCAGUACAAUAAGCACCGGCUAACUCCGUGCCAGCAGCCGCGGUAAUACGGAAGGUGCAAGCGUUAUCCGGAAUCACUGGGUUUAAAGGGUGCGUAGGCGGCUUGAUAAGUCAAAGGUGAAAGCCCGCACCUUAACUGCGGAACUGCCUUUGAUACUGUUGAGCUUGAAACAGGACGAGGUUGGCGGAAUGUGGCAUGUAGCGGUGAAAUGCAUAGAUAUGCCAUAGAACACCGAUUGCGAAGGCAGCUGGCUAGACCUGAUUUGACGCUGAGGCACGAAAGCGUGGGGAGCGAACAGGAUUAGAUACCCUGGUAGUCCACGCCCUAAACGAUGCUCACUCGACGUACGGUAGGAAUAUUGUGCGUCCAAGCGAAAGCGAUAAGUGAGCCACCUGGGGA